CCUACGGGGCGCUGCAGUGGGGAAUAUUGGACAAUGGGCGAAAGCCUGAUCCAGCCAUGCCGCGUGUGUGAAGAAGGCCUUCGGGUUGUAAAGCACUUUCAGUGGGGAAGAAAGCCUUGGGGCUAAUACCCUCGAGGAAGGACAUCACCCACAGAAGAAGCACCGGCUAACUCCGUGCCAGCAGCCGCGGUAAUACGGAGGGUGCGAGCGUUAAUCGGAAUUACUGGGCGUAAAGCGCGCGUAGGCGGUCUGAUAAGCCGGUUGUGAAAGCCCCGGGCUCAACCUGGGAACGGCAUCCGGAACUGUCAGGCUAGAGUGCAGGAGAGGAAGGUAGAAUUCCCGGUGUAGCGGUGAAAUGCGUAGAGAUCGGGAGGAAUACCGGUGGCGAAGGCGGCCUUCUGGACUGACACUGACGCUGAGGUGCGAAAGCGUGGGUAGCAAACAGGAUUAGAUACCCUUGUAGUC
This 465-nucleotide ribosomal RNA is filed under the name Vreelandella stevensii. Its description in RNAcentral is "partial 16S ribosomal RNA". It matches the Rfam family "Bacterial small subunit ribosomal RNA", at positions 338 to 795 of the family's 1533-position model. Lineage: Bacteria; Pseudomonadati; Pseudomonadota; Gammaproteobacteria; Oceanospirillales; Halomonadaceae. The record is from RNAcentral.